CCAGAGGAAACGGUUCCUGGCACAUAGUAGGUGUUCAAUUGAGGUUUGUGGAAUUGAAUUGCACGCCAAUAUGUCUAUGAAACAGUAUUUUAAAAAUAUGUGACUUUUCUCCCUAAAAAAAUCACAGAGUUGUCAACACUGAAAACUUUGUAGCUUCUAAAGAAAGUUACUGAUCAGUGAAGCAAAGAACAAGUCAAGAAUCAAGUACGGUUUGCCCUUCAAAAACCAAUGACUGACAACAAUAAAGCUACAAGUGAUUUAUUAUCUUCUUGAGGUGCAUACAUUUAUUUUGCUCAAGUUUCUCUCUCCGUAAUAGGAACUAAAAGGUAUGGGGACAUCUAGAUGGAGUUGUUGAUUUGCAGUGGAUGUGUGUGCUGAAGGGUCUUGGCUGGAGCCAGUUCCAUGCAAGAUCAAGCCAUAAGCAAACCAAAAUUCUGAGGAGCAAAAGCUAUGAGGACAUAGAAGGCCUUCACCGGAUGCCAGUGUCACACUCUUGAACUUUCACACCUCCAGAACCGUAAGCCA
This is a non-coding RNA of Macaca mulatta (Rhesus monkey), 525 nucleotides long. The record is from RefSeq and is a predicted model, not a curated record. Lineage: Eukaryota; Metazoa; Chordata; Mammalia; Primates; Cercopithecidae.